GACGAACGCUGGCGGCGUGCUUAACACAUGCAAGUCGAACGGAAAGGCCCUGCUUUUGUGGGGUGCUCGAGUGGCGAACGGGUGAGUAACACGUGAGUAACCUGCCCUUGACUUUGGGAUAACUUCAGGAAACUGGGGCUGAUACCGGAUAGGAGCUCCUGCUGCAUGGUGGGGGUUGGAAAGUUUCGGCGGUUGGGGAUGGACUCGCGGCUUAUCAGCUUGUUGGUGGGGUAGUGGCUUACCAAGGCUUUGACGGGUAGCCGGCCUGAGAGGGUGACCGGCCACAUUGGGACUGAGAUACGGCCCAGACUCCUACGGGAGGCAGCAGUGGGGAAUAUUGCACAAUGGGCGGAAGCCUGAGGCAGCAACGCCGCGUGCGGGAUGACGGCCUUCGGGUUGUAAACCGCUUUCGCCUGUGACGAAGCGUGAGUGACGGUAAUGGGUAAAGAAGCACCGGCUAACUACGUG
This 468-nucleotide ribosomal RNA is filed under the name uncultured bacterium. Its description in RNAcentral is "partial 16S ribosomal RNA". It matches the Rfam family "Bacterial small subunit ribosomal RNA", at positions 28 to 507 of the family's 1533-position model. The record is from RNAcentral.